AUUGAACGCUGGCGGCAGGCCUAACACAUGCAAGUCGAGCGAGCGGAGGACGGGUGAGUAAUGUCUGGGAAACUGCCUGAUGGAGGGGUAUAACUACUGGAAACGGUAGCUAAUACCGCAUACUAUCGGAUGUGCCCAGAUGGCCUUCGCUAGUAGGUGGGGUAAUGGCUCACGUAGGCGCCGAUGCCUAGCUGGUCUGAGAGGAUGACAAGGCACACGGGAACUGUGGCACGGUCCAGACUCCUACGGUAGGCAGCAGUGGGGAAGAUUGCACAAUGGGCGCAAGCCUGAUGCAGCCAUGCAGCGUGUGUGAAGAAGGCCUUCGGGUUGUAAGGCACUUUCAGCGGGGAGGCGUUACCCGCAGAAGAAGCACCGGCUAACUCCGUGCCAGCAGCCGCGGUAAUUC
This 406-nucleotide ribosomal RNA is filed under the name uncultured bacterium. Its description in RNAcentral is "partial 16S ribosomal RNA". It matches the Rfam family "Bacterial small subunit ribosomal RNA", at positions 30 to 526 of the family's 1533-position model. The record is from RNAcentral.